This 501-nucleotide ribosomal RNA is filed under the name Boulengerula niedeni. RNAcentral's name for it is "partial 16S ribosomal RNA". It matches the Rfam family "Bacterial large subunit ribosomal RNA", at positions 1834 to 2588 of the family's 2925-position model. Lineage: Eukaryota; Metazoa; Chordata; Amphibia; Gymnophiona; Herpelidae. The record is from RNAcentral.
UACUGCUUCACAUUAGAGGUACUGCCUGCCCAGUGAUUAUUUAACGGCCGCGGUAUCCUGACCGUGCAAAGGUAGCAUAAUAACUUGUCAUUUAAAUCAUGACUAGAAUGAAUGGCAAAACGAAAACUUAACUGUCUCCCUUAUUUAAUCAAUAAAACUGAUCUUCUUGUACAAAAGCAAGAAUAAAAAUAUAAGACGAGAAGACCCUAUGGAGCUUUAAAUAAAUUAUUAUCUGUAAUAACAAUUACAGCCCUAAUUAAUUAUUUUAGGUUGGGGCGACCACGGAGCACAAAAAACCUCCGAGAAAACAACUUAGAAAACACACCAAAGUAAUAAAACAUUUUAAAUAAUUGACCCAAUAAAAUUGAUCAACGAACCAAGUUACCCUAGGGAUAACAGCGCAAUCUUCUCUAAGAGUCCAUAUCGACGAGAAGGCUUACGACCUCGAUGUUGGAUCAGGAUACCCAAACAGUGCAGCCGCUGUAAAAGGUUGUUUCGCAA